Molecule: transfer RNA, 74 nt
Filed under: Planctomyces sp.
Lineage: Bacteria; Pseudomonadati; Planctomycetota; Planctomycetia; Planctomycetales; Planctomycetaceae
Also listed under: 2 other names
Description: tRNA-Arg
Rfam family: tRNA
About the family: Transfer RNA (tRNA) molecules are approximately 80 nucleotides in length. Their secondary structure includes four short double-helical elements and three loops (D, anti-codon, and T loops).
Source: RNAcentral
GCAUCCGUAGCUCAAUUGGAUAGAGCGUCGGUCUUCGGAACCGAAGGUUUCAGGUUCGACCCCUGACGGAUGCA